RNAcentral lists this ribosomal RNA (256 nucleotides) under uncultured bacterium. RNAcentral describes it as "partial 16S ribosomal RNA". It matches the Rfam family "Bacterial small subunit ribosomal RNA", at positions 524 to 776 of the family's 1533-position model. The record is from RNAcentral.
UACGUAGGUGGCAAGCGUUUGUCCGGAUUUAUUGGGUUUAAAGUGUGCGCAGGUGGCCGCGCAAGUUCGAGUGUGAAAUCCCCCGAGCUUAACUUGGGAAUUGCGCUCGAAACUACGUGGCUCGAGUGUGGCAGAGGAAGGUGGAAUUCCACGUGUAGCGGUGAAAUGCGUAGAGAUGUGGAGGAACACCGAUGGCGAAGGCAGCCUUCUGGGCCAACACUGACGCUCAUGCACGAAAGCGUGGGGAGCGAACAGG